UUUCAGACCAGGCUGUCAGAUGGCUGAGAUCUGGGAUUUAGAAGAUACAAAGAACAGAGGAAAGGAACCACUUUGUAGUAUUUUGCAAAGAGACCCAAAACCAUAUUUUAAAACUGUUUUUAAAAAUGCUGUAUAUUCAGUUUUAAAGCCUAUUAAGUGAAAAUCCUAUAAUUGAGUUUUUAUUUACAGAACAAAAUUUUAACAACUUAUCAGCUUUGCAUUAUAUAAUAUAUAAUAUAUGACAGACUCUUACAUUGGUUAUGGGAUUACAAAUCUCAAAAGUUUUAUUACCAAAUUAUAAGUCUAGGCCUACUUUAGAAUU
This 322-nucleotide long non-coding RNA is filed under the name Mytilus galloprovincialis (Mediterranean mussel). The record is from RNAcentral. Lineage: Eukaryota; Metazoa; Mollusca; Bivalvia; Mytilida; Mytilidae.